RNAcentral lists this ribosomal RNA (403 nucleotides) under uncultured bacterium. RNAcentral describes it as "partial 16S ribosomal RNA". It matches the Rfam family "Bacterial small subunit ribosomal RNA", at positions 30 to 526 of the family's 1533-position model. The record is from RNAcentral.
AUUGAACGCUGGCGGCAGGCCUAACACAUGCAAGUCGAGCGAGCGGCGGACGGGUGAGUAAUGUCUGGGGACUGCCCGAUGGAGGGGGAUAACUACUGGAAACGGUAGCUAAUACCGCAUACUAUCGGAUUACCCAGAUGGGAUUAGCUAGUAGGUGGGGUAAUGGCUCACCUAGGCGACGAUCCCUAGCUGGUCUGAGAGGAUGGUCAGCCACACUGGAACGGAGACACGGUCCAGACUCCUACGGAGGCAGCAGUGGGGAAUAUUGCACAAUGGGCGAAAGCCUGAUGCAGCCAUGCCGCGUGUAUGAAGAAGGCCUUAGGGUUGUAAAGUACUUUCAGUCGGGAGGCGUUACCGACAGAAGAAGCACCGGCUAACUCCGUGCCAGCAGCCGCGGUAAUUC